GAUGAACGCUGGCGGCGUGCCUAAUACAUGCAAGUCGAACGCAUUGUGGUUGAAAUGAUAUGAAGAACUUGUUCAGAUUUGAUUUUCAACAUUGCAAUGAGUGGCGAACGGGUGAGUAACACGUGGGAAACCUACCUCUUAGCAGGGGAUAACAUUUGGAAACAAAUGCUAAUACCGUAUAAUAAUUAAAACCGCAUGGUUUUAGUUUAAAGAUGGUCUUGCUAUCACUAAGAGAUGGUCCCGCGGUGUAUUAGUUUAGUUGGUGAGGUAAUGGCUCACCAAGACAAUGAUACAUAGCCGAGUUGAGAGACUGACCGGCCACAAUGGGACUGAGACACGGCCCAUACUCCUACGGGAGCAGCAGUAGGGAAUCUUCCACAAUGGACGAAAGUCUGAUGGAGCAACGCCGCGUGUGUGAU
This 419-nucleotide ribosomal RNA is filed under the name uncultured bacterium. RNAcentral describes it as "bacterial SSU rRNA". It matches the Rfam family "Bacterial small subunit ribosomal RNA", at positions 28 to 409 of the family's 1533-position model. The record is from RNAcentral.